Molecule: ribosomal RNA, 509 nt
Filed under: Proteus penneri
Lineage: Bacteria; Pseudomonadati; Pseudomonadota; Gammaproteobacteria; Enterobacterales; Morganellaceae
Description: bacterial SSU rRNA
Rfam family: Bacterial small subunit ribosomal RNA
Source: RNAcentral
UGAACGCUCAGGUGCGAAAGCGUGGGGAGCAAACAGGAUUAGAUACCCUGGUAGUCCACGCUGUAAACGAUGUCGAUUUAGAGGUUGUGGUCUUGAACCGUGGCUUCUGGAGCUAACGCGUUAAAUCGACCGCCUGGGGAGUACGGCCGCAAGGUUAAAACUCAAAUGAAUUGACGGGGGCCCGCACAAGCGGUGGAGCAUGUGGUUUAAUUCGAUGCAACGCGAAGAACCUUACCUACUCUUGACAUCCAGCGAAUCCUUUAGAGAUAGAGGAGUGCCUUCGGGAACGCUGAGACAGGUGCUGCAUGGCUGUCGUCAGCUCGUGUUGUGAAAUGUUGGGUUAAGUCCCGCAACGAGCGCAACCCUUAUCCUUUGUUGCCAGCGCGUCAUGGCGGGAACUCAAAGGAGACUGCCGGUGAUAAACCGGAGGAUGGUGGGGAUGACGUCACGUCAUCAUGGCCCUUACGAGUGGGGCUACACACGUGCUACAAUGGCCAAUACAAUGGGAU